This 920-nucleotide ribosomal RNA is filed under the name uncultured fungus. RNAcentral's name for it is "LSU rRNA". It matches the Rfam family "Eukaryotic large subunit ribosomal RNA", at positions 56 to 960 of the family's 3401-position model. The record is from RNAcentral. Lineage: Eukaryota; Fungi.
GAAAGACUACAGGAUUCCCCUAGUAACUGCGAGUGAAGAGGGAAAAGCUCAAAUUUUAAAUCUGACAGUCUAUGGCUGUCCGAGUUGUAAAUUGGAGAAGUGUCAUCUGCGCUGGCCUGUGCAAAAGUCUCUUGGAAAAGAGCAUCAUAGAGGGUGACAAUCCCGUCUUUGGCACAGACACCCAGGGCUUUGUGAUGCGCUUUCAACGAGUCGAGUUGUUUGGGAAUGCAGCUCCAAAUGGGUGGUAAAUUCCAUCUAAAGCUAAAUAUUGGCGAGAGACCGAUAGCGCACAAGUACCGUGAGGGAAAGAUGAAAAGAACUUUGAAAAGAGAGUUAAACAGUAUGUGAAAUUGUUGAAAGGGAAACGCUUGAAGUCAGUUGUCUCCUGUUGAAAUCAACUCAACCUUGGUUGGGUGCACUUUCUGCAGGAAGAGUCAGCAUCAAUUUUGAUCAUUGGAUAAAGGCUCUGGGAAGGUGGCAUCUUCGGAUGUGUUAUAGACCAGGGUUCAGAUGCAAUGAUUGAGAUUGUGGAACUCAGUGUGACAUUUUAUAUGUUUGGGGCUUCGGCUCACAUUCACACUUAGGAUGCUGGCAUAAUGGCUUUAAUCGACCCGUCUUGAAACACGGACCAAGGAGUCUAACAUGCAUGCGAGUGUUUGGGUGAAAAACUCAAGCGCGAAAUGAAAGUGAAAGUUGAGAACCCUGUCAUGGGGUGCAUCGACACCCGGACCUGACCUUUUGUGAAGGAUCUGCGGCAGAGCAUGUAUGUUGGGACCCGAAAGAUGGUGAACUAUGCCUGAAUAGGGUGAAGCCAGAGGAAACUCUGGUGGAAGCUCGUAGCGAUUCUGACGUGCAAAUCGAUCGUUGAAUUUGGGUAUAGGGGCGAAAGACUAAUCGAACCAUCUAGUAGCUGGUUCCCC